Molecule: ribosomal RNA, 253 nt
Filed under: uncultured bacterium
Lineage: Bacteria
Description: partial 16S ribosomal RNA
Rfam family: Bacterial small subunit ribosomal RNA
Source: RNAcentral
UACGGAGGGUGCAAGCGUUAUCCGGAUUUACUGGGUUUAAAGGGUGUGUAGGCGGACUAUUAAGUCAGUGGUGAAAUCCCGAGGCUCAACCUCGGAACUGCCUUUGAUACUAUUAGUCUUGAAUGUUGUUGAGGUGGGCGGAACGGGUCAUGUAGCGGUGAAAUGCAUAGAUAUGUGGAGGAAUACCGAUGGCGAAGGCAGCCCCCUGGGAUAACACUGACGCUCAUGCACGAAAGCGUGGGGAGCAAACAGG